UUGUAAGCCUUCGGUACCUAUGCACUUUGGUUGUGUUUCAUUAAACCACAAAUCUCUCAGCUACUAGCACUGUUUUGAGAAGAGGGCGAAACUUCAGUGGAGCCUUGAUGGAAGAAGUGGAUCGAAGUGUGACUUUGAAGGUACACAAGCUCUCAGCCGCUGCUGACAUGUACCUACCACCUCCAUUUUUCCAUCAUGGACUCUCUGGCCUCUGGAACCAUAAGCCCAAAAUGAACUCUUUCUCCUUUAGGUUUCCCUGUUUGUGAUGUUUUUAGUGCAGAAAUAGAAAAGUAGCCACAUAACAGACACCAGGAAAGCAGUGCCACUGUCACAUAUCAAAGCAUCCAUUUGAGAUGACAGUAAAUCAUGCCACCCCCUCAAAACCACAGGAAGUCAAAGUAAGAGACAACAAUAAGAGACUUAUUGUGAUAAAGGAAGAGUGUUGAGCCAGCUCACCACAUUAAUCAAAACACUUUCCUGAAAUUCCAUGUGUUCACUCUGCCUAACAGGCUUGGGGCCUAGAGCCCAGGUCCCACAUCUCUGCAUCCAGCAUCCCUCAGUGCUGUGUGCAGCACCCCUCAGUGCUGCAGCCAGCAUCCCUCAGUGCUACAUCCAGUCUGGGCCAUCACAGUUCACCUCCAGGUACCAAGAAGAGAAUGUGAACCCACAGCCUAUCUCUCCUCUAAGUCACUAGCACCUCGCCCACUUGAAGAGCAGCUAUUGGAGGAACCAGACAGUCAAGCAAAAGCACCACAGAGAGGCAGAUGAGGAGCCUCCAUGUUAAUGGGAUUGAAGGAGAGAGCACCCAGGAGGCUCUACAGGUGGCCAUGAGCAACAGCAAUGGAAUAUAUCAUGCCCAAAGGAUGGCUACAAUUUUUCCCCUUUGUACUUGCCGCACAAAAACAGUGAGCUUCAUCUCCAGAAACACACAAAAGCGGAUGGAGAAGCCAAUUCCACAAAAUCAUCCUCCAGCCUCUGAGAGUGUGUGCACAACUGUGUGGUGCACACACCAGAAAAGAUAAAAUUUCAAAGAUAAAAGUAA
Long non-coding RNA from Mastomys coucha (southern multimammate mouse), 1042 nucleotides. RefSeq lists it as uncharacterized. The record is from RefSeq and is a predicted model, not a curated record. The transcript has 2 exons. Lineage: Eukaryota; Metazoa; Chordata; Mammalia; Rodentia; Muridae.